This 256-nucleotide ribosomal RNA is filed under the name uncultured bacterium. Its description in RNAcentral is "partial 16S ribosomal RNA". It matches the Rfam family "Bacterial small subunit ribosomal RNA", at positions 527 to 779 of the family's 1533-position model. The record is from RNAcentral.
CGAAGGGGCUAGCGUUGCUCGGAAUUACUGGGCGUAAAGGGAGCGUAGGCGGACAUUUAAGUCAGGGGUGGAAAUCCCGGGGCGUCAACCUCGGAAUUGCCUUUGAUACUGGGUGUCUUGAGUAUGAGAGAGGUGUGUGGAACUCCGAGUGUAGAGGUGAAAUUCGUAGAUAUUCGGAAGAACACCAGUGGCGAAGGCGACACACUGGCUCAUUACUGACGCUGAGGCUCGAAAAGCGUGGGGAGCAAACAGGAUU